AUGUCGCAGUCGACAGCGAGUUAUCUACACCUUCUCGGAACGUAACUGCGUCGAGCGGGGGACGGUUGAGUAAUGCCUACCGUAUUGCCCUGAUGUGGGGGAUAACCAUUGAAAACGAUGGCUAAUACCGCAUGAUGCCUACGGACCAAAGAGGGGGACCUUCGGGCCUCUCGCGUCAGGAUAUGCCUAAGUGGGAUUACCUUAUUGGUGAGGUAAGGGCUCACCAAGGCGACGAUCCCUAGCUGGUCUGAGAGGAUGAUCAGCCACACUGGAACUGAGACACGGUCCAGACUCCUACGGGAGGCAGCAGUGGGGAAUAUUGCACAAUGGGCGCAAGCCUGAUGCAGCCAUGCCGCGUGUAUGAAGAAGGCCUUCGGGUUGUAAAGUACUUUCAGUCGUGAGGAAGGUGGCGUCGUUAAUAGCGGCAUCAUUUGACGUUAGCGACAGAAGAAGCACCGGCUAACUCCGUGCCAGCAGCCGCGGUAAUACGGAGGGUGCGAGCGUUUAAUCGGAUUUACUGGGGCGUAAAGCGCAUGCAGGUGGUUUGUUAAGUCAGAUGUGAAACCCGGGGGCUCACCUCGAAUAGCAUUGAAACUGGGAAACUAGAGUACUGUAGAGGGGGGUAAGAAUUCAGGUGUACCGUUGAAUUGCUAAAAGACUGAAAGAAUACGGUGGCCAAAGCCGCCCCCCGGACAGAUACUGACACUCAAAUGCCAAAGCGUGGGGAGCAACAAGAAUAAAUACCUGGUAGUCCACGCCGUAAACAUGUUUCUUGAGGUUGGCCUGAACCCGGCUUUCGAACUACCGUUAAUAACCGCCGGGGGGUAGGCCCAAAUAAACUCAAUGAAUGAAGGGGCCCCCAACCGUGAACUGUGGUUAUUCAUCACCCAAACCUACUCUCUGACUCAGAGACUUCAGAGUGAUGUGCUCGGACUCGAACAGUGCUGCUG
RNAcentral lists this ribosomal RNA (950 nucleotides) under Vibrio sp. BBT56. RNAcentral describes it as "bacterial SSU rRNA". The stretch from base 1 to 819 matches the Rfam family "Bacterial small subunit ribosomal RNA", at positions 59 to 873 of the family's 1533-position model. Lineage: Bacteria; Pseudomonadati; Pseudomonadota; Gammaproteobacteria; Vibrionales; Vibrionaceae. The record is from RNAcentral.